This 624-nucleotide ribosomal RNA is filed under the name uncultured bacterium. Its description in RNAcentral is "bacterial SSU rRNA". It matches the Rfam family "Bacterial small subunit ribosomal RNA", at positions 11 to 646 of the family's 1533-position model. The record is from RNAcentral.
GUUGAUCCUGGCUCAGAAUGAACGUUGGCGGCGUGGAUUAGGCAUGCAAGUCGUGCGGAAAGGCCCCGCAAGGGGUGCUCGAGCGGCGAAAGGGAUAGUAACGCGUGGAUUACCUACCCUCGGGACGGGGAUAGCUGGGGGAAACCCCAAUUAAUACCCGAUAACGUCUUUGGACCAAAGGUGAAAUUCCGCCUGAGGACGGGUCCGCGUCCUAUUAGCUAGUUGGUGAGGUAACGGCUCACCAAGGCAACGAUGGGUAGCGGGUGUGAGAGCACGACCCGCAUCACUGGGACUGAGACACUGCCCAGACACCUACGGGUGGCUGCAGUCGAGAAUCUUCGGCAAUGGGCGAAAGCCUGACCGAGCGACGCCGCGUGUGGGAUGAAGGCCUUCGGGUUGUAAACCACUGUCAGUGGGAAUGAAAUACGGGAGGGUUCACCCUCUCGUUUGACAGACCUUCAGAGGAAGGACGGGCUAAGUUCGUGCCAGCAGCCGCGGUAAUACGAACCGUCCAAACGUUAUUCGGAAUCACUGGGCUUAAAGGGUGCGUAGGCGGCCCGGUAAGUUGGGUGUGAAAUCCCUCGGCUUAACCGAGGAAUUGCGCUCAAGACUGCCGGGCUCGAG